Molecule: ribosomal RNA, 253 nt
Filed under: uncultured bacterium
Lineage: Bacteria
Description: partial 16S ribosomal RNA
Rfam family: Bacterial small subunit ribosomal RNA
Source: RNAcentral
GACGGAGGAUGCAAGUGUUAUCCGGAAUCACUGGGCGUAAAGCGUCUGUAGGUGGUUCGAAAAGUCCACUGUUAAAAAUUGAAGCUUAACUUCAAAGAUGCCGAUGGAAACUUUCAAACUAGAGUGUGGUAGGGUAGAGGGAAUUUCCAGUGGAGCGGUGAAAUGCGUAGAUAUUGGAAAGACCACCGAUGGCGAAGGCACUCUACUGGGCCAUUACUGACACUGAGAGACGAAAGCUAGGGGAGCAAAUGGG